Coturnix japonica (Japanese quail) is the source of this 2296-nucleotide long non-coding RNA. Lineage: Eukaryota; Metazoa; Chordata; Aves; Galliformes; Phasianidae. The record is from Ensembl.
GGUUUCUCAGUCCUUGCUCUGGGCCUUCAUUUUGCCAAUGCAAUCUCCUUGAAAAUGAACAAAUUCUUUAAUUGUUUUUUCACCACUGACCCUAUUUUUGUUAUAUCAAGACAAAAAAAAAAAGUCUUUUUUGUGGUUUUGCAGGUCAUCUCAGCCAUGUAUGGUAUUUCAGAUGUAUUUCAGAUACGCACUGUUGAUGUUGCAACAUCCUCAAAAGGCUCCCAAUACUCUCCUCUAAAUUUCCACAAAGGGGCUCAGGAGUCUGGUUUGGCCUGGAAAUGAACCUCACCUUUCAGCAAUGGCAUACUAAACAGGAGACCGGAACUUCUGAGAGGAUGCUGGAGAACCAAAGUGAAUAACACAGAGACAAUCCUCAGCAGCUAGACUGUCUGCUUCUAGUCCUAAUGCAUUUAACUGGAGCGGAGAAUACUCUGAUGGCCCUGAUGAAUAUGUGUUAAGUGCCAUUUUCAGUACAUAACAGCUUUUUAGACAGCUGCUCACCCUUAUUGUCUUGCCUGUUGCAGUUUCCUUUCCACUGUCGAUCCUGAAAAGUUAAAUAUAGCCAUCCGAGAUGCAGCAGUCCUUAAAAGGUACCACUUGUUGGAUGUGGUAUGUUCUUUUAUUCUCAUCAAUUCCUCAUUCUUUUUGAACCUGACGUAUAAUCCCUUAUAAAUGGCUCUCUUUAUGCUGCAAUUUGGAGCUGUUCCACUUGAUAAUUUAUGCUAUCGUCACUAGUUAGCAUGAUCCCUAAUCUCGGUAGCUUUUAUCAAGCUUUUUAUCAGAGGUACUGCUUUGAGUUGUUUGUAUUAAUAAUAGUUAAGAGCACUAGCUAAGAGCAGUGCUGUCUGCUGCCUCUGCCCAGCCUUUCCAGGCAGUGACCUUCUCUCCUGUACAGAGCAAUAGCUAAUGAAAAAGCACCUCCGCCUUUUCUUGUUUUCAGGUUCACACAUCCUUGAACAUAUACUAGUUUAAAGUUUGUUUGACAUCUUAGAUCAGCUGAAGGUUGUAAGUAAUUUAAAGUCAUUCAUCUAAGUCAGCACCUAAAAUGAAAGCAGUAAUGGUUUAUUCCAUAGGGAGUUACUUGUGAGCAGCUAAAAGUGUGUAACAGUCCAUUGCACAGUGCAAAGCCGACCUCGGGAGAAAGUAGAUGAAAACCUAUACAGAGUUUAAAGGGCAUCUGCAAGUAUUCAUUUUACCCCAGACAGUCAGUACAGGGGCCACUUGUCUUUUUAUCAACGGUAUCUGAUAACAUGAAGAAAUUAAUAAUUUACAGAGGGCAGGCAGUACUUUUCCAUUACAAGCUGUGUGCAAAGGAAGAAAGAACUGCUGGCACACGCCAGAGUGCUCCCUGCAAGGUCGUUCUGCCUCAGUGCUGCAAAUGUGUUUCUUUUUAACCCCUUCAUAAGAGUGAGAAAAUACAGCUCCACAGAACAUGUAUAUUGAACACUUAUUAAGUGCAGAAAAGAACCCACAACCAUUUAGGACUCCAGUCUUGGAAGCCAUGGAAAUCAACAUCUAGCAAUUCUUUGGAUGGGAGAUCUCAUGGAACCCUGGAUGCUUUGAGACAAGCCAAUGGCUCCAUUCAGUCCAACGGAGCUAGCAAUCCAAAACUUGACAGGUUAUUCAGUGAGUAAAAAAAUGUGAGACACCCAAAGUCUCCACCCUUCAUCCACCAGUCUUACCCUCCAGUUUCAUCCUUCCAUGUCUCCUGUAGUAUGCCCUUGAGUAAGGAACAUCAGUACAGUCGCUGCCAGUUCAAUGAUGCACACAAUGUUCAUUUGACUGCUGCCAAAAUGGAUGCACCAUAGCAACCUCCAAUCAUCCUUUUUCUCUAUCCCUCAGCUCAGAUACUGCCCUCUGUGUAACAUCUGGGGUUGCAGCUAGCCCUCCGCCUACAAUGGCUCUUUCCUGUUUGGAUGGGAGUACUUGAGGGAGGAGAGAAUGGCCAAGCUCAGCCACUGUGCAAAGACAGAGGUUUGCUGCAUCUUCCUAGGAAACCAGGCUAAAAUGAUAAAAAAAGCUCAUUCAGGACACACAUUAAUUAAGUAUAAUGGUGACAUACUUGAAAGAGCAGGAAAUGAUAACAUUAUGAUUCCCACAGAAACAGCAACCUCUGCUCCAUGUCCAACAUAGUCCUCGAUUAAAUCUGUUAAAUCUGCAGUCUACCACACUUCUAUUCAUGUUGUUAAACACCAUAAUAUGUAAUAGGUGCACAAUAGUGGAAAAGCAUUUGAAUUUCUAUUGUUUACAGUCAGAAAAAAAUUAAAUAAAUGCUAAGAAUAUGCAGAGCCUGUCA